GUGCUCACUUUGGCGGCACGUAUCCUAAAAUUAGAACAAUACAAAGAUUAGCAUGGCCCCUGCUCAAGGAUGAGACAAAUUUGCAAAUUCGUGAAGCGUUCCAUUUUGUU
This is a non-coding RNA of Canis lupus familiaris (dog), 110 nucleotides long. Lineage: Eukaryota; Metazoa; Chordata; Mammalia; Carnivora; Canidae. The record is from Rfam.